This 77-nucleotide transfer RNA is filed under the name Pseudomonadota bacterium. RNAcentral's name for it is "tRNA-Val". It matches the Rfam family "tRNA". Rfam says of the family: Transfer RNA (tRNA) molecules are approximately 80 nucleotides in length. Their secondary structure includes four short double-helical elements and three loops (D, anti-codon, and T loops). Further hydrogen bonds mediate the characteristic L-shaped molecular structure. tRNAs have two regions of fundamental functional importance: the anti-codon, which is responsible for specific mRNA codon recognition, and the 3' end, to which the tRNAs corresponding amino acid is attached (by aminoacyl-tRNA synthetases). tRNAs cope with the degeneracy of the genetic code in two manners: having more than one tRNA (with a specific anti-codon) for a particular amino acid; and 'wobble' base-pairing, i.e. permitting non-standard base-pairing at the 3rd anti-codon position. RNAcentral also lists the same sequence under 1 other name. Lineage: Bacteria; Pseudomonadati; Pseudomonadota. The record is from RNAcentral.
GGGCGGUUAGCUCAGUUGGCCAGAGCGCCACGUUGACAUCGUGGAGGUCACAAGUUCAAGUCUUGUACCGCCCACCA